This 429-nucleotide ribosomal RNA is filed under the name Verrucomicrobiota bacterium. Its description in RNAcentral is "Verrucomicrobia bacterium partial 16S ribosomal RNA". It matches the Rfam family "Bacterial small subunit ribosomal RNA", at positions 355 to 776 of the family's 1533-position model. The record is from RNAcentral. Lineage: Bacteria; Pseudomonadati; Verrucomicrobiota.
UAGGGAAUCUUCCGCAAUGGACGAAAGUCUGACGGAGCAACGCCGCGUGAGUGAAGAAGGAUUUCGGUUCGUAAAACUCUGUUGUUAGGGAAGAAAAAAUGUAUAGUAACUAUAUACAAAAGAGACGGUACCUAACCAGAAAGCCACGGCUAACUACGUGCCAGCAGCCGCGGUAAUACGUAGGUGGCAAGCGUUGUCCGGAAUUAUUGGGCGUAAAGCGCGCGCAGGUGGUUUAGAAAGUCUGAUGUGAAAGCCCACGGCUCAACCGUGGAGGGUCAGUGGAAACUAAUAAACUUGAGUGCAGGAGAGAAAAGUGGAAUUCCUAGUGUAGCGGUGAAAUGCGUAGAGAUUAGGAGGAACACCGGUGGCGAAGGCGGCUUUUUGGCCUGCAACUGACACUGAGGAGCGAAAGCGUGGGGAGCAAACAGG